CCUACGGGUGGCAGCAGUGGGGAAUAUUGCACAAUGGGGGAAACCCUGAUGCAGCGACGCCGCGUGAGUGAAGAAGUAUCUCGGUACGUAAAGCUCUAUCAGCAGGGAAGAAAAUGACGGUACCUGACUAAGAAGCCCCGGCUAACUACGUGCCAGCAGCCGCGGUAAUACGUAGGGGGCAAGCGUUAUCCGGAUUUACUGGGUGUAAAGGGAGCGUAGACGGCAGCACAAGUCUGGAGUGAAAUCCCGGGGCUUAACCCCGGAACUGCUUUGGAAACUGUGGGGCUUGAGUGCGGGAGGGGCAGGCGGAAUUCCUGGUGUAGCGGUGAAAUGCGUAGAUAUAAGGAGGAACACCGGCGGCGAAGGCGGCCUGCUGGACCGUAACUGACGUUGAGGCUCGAAAGCGUGGGGAGCGAACAGGAUUAGAUACCCUAGUAGUC
RNAcentral lists this ribosomal RNA (440 nucleotides) under uncultured bacterium. RNAcentral describes it as "partial 16S ribosomal RNA". It matches the Rfam family "Bacterial small subunit ribosomal RNA", at positions 338 to 795 of the family's 1533-position model. The record is from RNAcentral.